CGGGAGCAUGAUGUCAUCAGAACCCCUACAGUCACCAGGUGAAGAUCAGACUGUUUUUAGGGGAUUGUUCUGUCUACACCCACAGCAAUGCAGAGCAAAGCAAGCGCAGGUUAAAUGCCCUGAUUCAUUUCCCUCCUUUAGCUGACCUGCAUCAUCUCAUCACCUGGCAGACCUUCCUAAGGAGAUCCAUCACAGAAUACUACACCAGUCCGUUAUACUCACUCCGGUCUUCUCACCACUGGUCACGCUGGUUCCUCGACUUGUUCCUGUUUCGCCGUCCUCGGCUCCACCUCACGCUCCAAGCUGUGCUCGCCGUCCUCGGCGGUCCACCUCAUCACAGGCCUUCUACGCCGUCCUCGGCUCCACCUCUCGCUCAAAGCUGUGCUCGCCGUCCUCCGCGCUCCACCUCGUCACAGGCUGUGUACGCCGUCCUCGGCGCUCCUCUUCGUCCACGACUCUCAUCCCCUCUCAGAUUAAAACUUCUGACUCUG
Non-coding RNA from Oryzias latipes (Japanese medaka), 491 nucleotides. NCBI's taxonomy places the organism in Eukaryota, Metazoa, Chordata, Actinopteri, Beloniformes, Adrianichthyidae. The record is from RefSeq and is a predicted model, not a curated record.